This 894-nucleotide ribosomal RNA is filed under the name Vibrio parahaemolyticus. Its description in RNAcentral is "partial 23S ribosomal RNA". It matches the Rfam family "Bacterial large subunit ribosomal RNA", at positions 243 to 1188 of the family's 2925-position model. The record is from RNAcentral. Lineage: Bacteria; Pseudomonadati; Pseudomonadota; Gammaproteobacteria; Vibrionales; Vibrionaceae.
GUAGCGGCGAGCGAAAUUGGACUAGCCCUUAAGCUUUACACGCGUUAGACGAACGGUCUGGAAAGUCCGACGAUACAGGGUGAUAGUCCCGUAGUUGACGACGUGUGUUCAGUGAAAUCGAGUAGGGCGGGACACGUGAUAUCCUGUCUGAAUAUGGGGGGACCAUCCUCCAAGGCUAAAUACUACUGACUGACCGAUAGUGAACCAGUACCGUGAGGGAAAGGCGAAAAGAACCCCUGUGAGGGGAGUGAAAUAGAACCUGAAACCGUGUACGUACAAGCAGUAGGAGCAGGCUUUGUCCUGUGACUGCGUACCUUUUGUAUAAUGGGUCAGCGACUUAUAUUCAGUGGCAAGGUUAACCAUCUAGGGGAGCCGUAGGGAAACCGAGUCUUAACUGGGCGUUCAGUCUCUGGAUAUAGACCCGAAACCAGGUGAUCUAGCCAUGGGCAGGUUGAAGGUUGAGUAACAUCAACUGGAGGACCGAACCGACUAAUGUUGAAAAAUUAGCGGAUGACUUGUGGCUAGGGGUGAAAGGCCAAUCAAACCUGGAGAUAGCUGGUUCUCCCCGAAAGCUAUUUAGGUAGCGCCUCGGACGAAUACUACUGGGGGUAGAGCACUGUUAAGGCUAGGGGGUCAUCCCGACUUACCAACCCUUUGCAAACUCCGAAUACCAGUAAGUACUAUCCGGGAGACACACGGCGGGUGCUAACGUCCGUCGUGGAGAGGGAAACAACCCAGACCGCCAGCUAAGGUCCCAAAUUACUACUAAGUGGGAAACGAUGUGGGAAGGCUCAGACAGCCAGGAUGUUGGCUUAGAAGCAGCCAUCAUUUAAAGAAAGCGUAAUAGCUCACUGGUCGAGUCGGCCUGCGCGGAAGAUGUAACGGGGCUAAGUA